This 474-nucleotide ribosomal RNA is filed under the name uncultured Thiomonas sp. RNAcentral describes it as "bacterial SSU rRNA". It matches the Rfam family "Bacterial small subunit ribosomal RNA", at positions 55 to 526 of the family's 1533-position model. The record is from RNAcentral. Lineage: Bacteria; Pseudomonadati; Pseudomonadota; Betaproteobacteria; Burkholderiales.
AUGCAGUCGAACGGCAGCGCGGGGCAACCUGGCGGCGAGUGGCGAACGGGUGAGUAAUACAUCGGAACGUGCCCUGUGAUGGGGGAUAACUACGCGAAAGCGUAGCUAAUACCGCAUACGACCCAAGGGUGAAAGUGGGGGAUCGCAAGACCUCACGUCAUAGGAGCGGCCGAUGGCGGAUUAGCUAGUUGGUGAGGUAAAGGCUUACCAAGGCGACGAUCCGUAGCUGGUCUGAGAGGACGACCAGCCACACUGGGACUGAGACACGGCCCAGACUCCUACGGGAGGCAGCAGUGGGGAAUCUUGGACAAUGGGGGCAACCCUGAUCCAGCAAUGCCGCGUGUGGGAUGAAGGCCUUCGGGUUGUAAACCACUUUUGGCGGGGGCGAAAUGUCGAGUGCUAAUACCAUUCGGUGAUGACGGUACCCGCAGAAUAAGCACCGGCUAACUACGUGCCAGCAGCCCGGGGUAAUAC